This 248-nucleotide long non-coding RNA is filed under the name Elaeis guineensis (African oil palm). Its description in RNAcentral is "long non-coding RNA (EGUI_LNC081237)". The record is from RNAcentral. Lineage: Eukaryota; Viridiplantae; Streptophyta; Magnoliopsida; Arecales; Arecaceae.
CUUGUGGGUGAUAUAUCUCAACAGGCAAAAUCUUGUACUAAUUUUGGAAUAAGGUGGGUAAAAUAUCAACCAAUAAGUUCAGUAAAUCUACUUUGGCAUAGGCCAGCAAUGAACAUGCAUAUGCAUGUAAGUGAUAUCCAUGUUUUCACAAUGGAAAAAUAAUCUUCACAAGGUAAGUGCAUAUAUUGGAUGUUUGUCAUCUAAUUCAAAUAGGAGCUAUGUGUGAUUUAUGUUACAUAUAGGCUAAU